This is an RNA transcript of Tarenaya hassleriana, 1324 nucleotides long. It is a transcript of the gene named alanine--tRNA ligase 1, with no coding region annotated. The record is from RefSeq and is a predicted model, not a curated record. Lineage: Eukaryota; Viridiplantae; Streptophyta; Magnoliopsida; Brassicales; Cleomaceae. The transcript is spliced from 10 exons.
AAAUAGAUCGGGCGACUAUAAUCUAUAUUGAGUCCGUUGACAAAAAAAUAAAUAAAUAAAUAAAACACGGACGAGUGCACUCGGUGUUAACACGCUCGCUCACGGCGUCGAACGAGUCGGACUCGCUAUGGAUUUACCUCCGACGAAGCUUGAUUACUUCGUGGAUAUGUCGAUACUUCAAUCCAAAUCCAAACUACUCUCCUUAAAGGAAGACGAUGGCGGUACAGCUUUGAUUCUGGACUCGACGGUGUUCCAUCCGCAAGGAGGAGGCCAGCCAUCGGACACAGGCUUCAUCGUGUUUGCUGGUUCGGAUAUCAAGUUUUCCGUUCAAGAUGUUCGAUCAAAAGAUGGAAUUGUUUUCCAUUUCGGAGAUUUUGAGUGUUCAAAUCCUGAAAGUGGAACAACUCUUGAGGAAGGACAAGAAGUUCUCUUGCUUGUUGAUGAAUCAAGGCGCAAGCUUAAUUCUAGGUUGCACUCAGCUGGGCACUUACUAGACGUGUGUAUGCAGAAAGUUGGUUUGGGGCAUCUGGAGCCUGGAAAAGGGUACCAUUUUCCAGAUGGUCCUUUUGUGGAAUACAAAGGAACUGUCCCGCAGGAUGAAUUGCAGGUGAAGCAGAAAGAGCUGGAGGCAGAAGCUAAUGAACUGAUAUCUAGAGGAGGGAAGGUUUAUGCUGCUAUCUUGCCUUAUGAAGAAGCAUCCAAGCUCUGUGGUGGCAGUCUUCCCAAUUAUAUUGCUAAGGGAAGCACUCCUCGGAUCAUAAAGUUAGGUGACAGUCCUGGCUGUCCUUGUGGUGGUACCCAUGUCUCUGACAUUUCUGAUAUCAUAAGCAUGAAAGUCACGCAGGUUAGAACCAAGAAAGGAACGACGAAAGUUUUCUACACCAUCGGAUCUUAGUACUAUCUUUGAUCGGAUCCAGUUCACAUACAAAACUGUAUUCUUGAUUCUUGAUGAGAUGUCGUUUUCAGGGUUUCAAAGUGUUGGAAACUAGUUCUUGAGAGCUGCCUCUUUUUAAAUAGCGCUGCCAUAUGAUAUGACUGACUUCUCAGAGAGUCUCAACAGCCAGAAAUCAAAGAGCCUCCUCUCCAUCUGAUAAAUGGCUCUCCCUAUCCAUCUGAGUGGUUGGUUCUGCAAAUGUGCGUCCAAAGAAGCCAAACCGGUGUUUCGGAAUCUAGUGUUUCUCAUGAUGUCCCAAUUCAUUUCGUCAUUUCCCUUACAAAUCUUUCAACAACUUAUCACAGAAGUCUGUAUUUUGCAUUGGGUUUGUUCUCUCGGUCUCAGAUAGUUUACUCUUUAGAAAGGAUCAUACAACAUAUAGUCUAGUGA